GUGUGACUGUCUCUAAAUCUAAUAAUACCAGAAUAGGAUAUUGAACCUUCGUUUCCUAUACCUAACCAUACAUGUAUGAUGCUAGCAAGCUAGUGUACUUAGUAAAUAAGUGGUGAUUGAGCCCGGUAAAAGCUCUUAUGCAUUCAUUUGUGAAGUUAAAGAAACAUAUUCCAAGUCAAAUUUCUCACUCAACAAAUGAACAAUAUUGGUGAGGCUGGGUCAAUUACAUUUAUGAAUGGAUUGGACUUCUGUUAUAGAUGGUUUAUGGUUAUGUAACCAGAUUCUUCAUCACAGAAAAAAUAUAAAUUGAGAGGAAAUAGAGAGAGAAGGGGCGUCGGAAUAGAAGAAUAGAGAAAAGAAGAGAGGGAGGAAUAGAGAGAGAGAAAAUAGAUCUUU
RNAcentral lists this unclassified non-coding RNA (396 nucleotides) under Hevea brasiliensis (rubber tree). Lineage: Eukaryota; Viridiplantae; Streptophyta; Magnoliopsida; Malpighiales; Euphorbiaceae. The record is from RNAcentral.